CAUAUGUAUCUUGUGGGCUCUAUUGUAAUCCUGUUGUAAUGUUACCACUCGUGUUAAUUCCUCUGGCAUCACGUGUGUGAUUCUUCGCGCACGUCGUGUCGGAGGGCGUCUCUGAAUCGAUAUCAUAUGGAUUUCGGCGGGUUCGCUGGAAUCCUCAUGGUACCGGUUCCGGGGCGUCACAAGUUGGUAUCAGAGCUCAGGUUGACGGUACCCCACUAGUCCAGCCUGUAGGAUAACCUUGCCAACGGACGUUGUGUCUAGUGUCAAAACUAUUUUCUGAAAACUUCGUUGGAUAGUUCUGAUUAGCUCUGAUUUUUCUCCUUACCUCUAUUCUUUCUCAUCUUACCUAUGCGAGUUUUGGGUCUUCUCUCUUAUCUGAGUUCUCCGAGUCUUAGGUUCCGACGAGGGUUGGACGAUCUUUGCCCCUCACCUAUUAGGUCCGAUCUUCGGAGGAUCUCGACGAUAGCGCAUCAACAACGACGGAACAACGACUUCUUGUUAGUGGUGUCGCCGAUCUACGUGGAGCAAGAACUCUUGUUAGUGGUGUCGAGGAGAUCGACACGUCGCCUGAAGAUCCGAUAGCUUCACCUUUCUUCCCCGUACCAGGACGUGGAACCUCGGGGCGAGGUUCCUUGUUAGUGGUGUCGAUUGUAACGGCCCAGGGUAGCACCCCUAUUAGAUUUGCUUGUGUUUUUAUUUUGUGCAUCAUCAUGGCAUCAUGCAUGCAUCACAUCCAUGUUUUAACAAAAUAAAAUUAUUUUUAUUAAACCCUAUUUUGUUGUUCAAACUUCUCCCCUCUUUCAUUUCAAAUUAUACCCAUCCUUUCUUUGUUUAAUUUCACAACUAAAAUCUAUUUAGAAAUGGUUUUGAAAACAAACAAACAAAAACAAAACAGUUUUAAAAUAAAAAUAAAAAGGGAGCAGACCUCCCAACCAGCCAGGCCUGGGAAGGCCCAGCCGGCAGCCCUCUCCCUCUCUUCCCCGGUGGCCCAUCUCUCUCUCUCUGGCCUUUCUCCUCCCUCUCAGCCCAACGCCUGGACUUCUUCCCUCUGGCCCGAGUCGGCCCGACCCAGCCCACCUUGCCACCGUACCGCUUCGAGGAGAGGAGAUUCUCCUCGUUGUCGUCUUCUCCAACGGAGCACGCAGAGGGCGUGAACCUCUCCCCGCUCACGUCACCGAGCGCCUCCACCACCCAACCACUCCCCCUCCCCUUUUAAUCUCCUCGAGGCCUCGGCAAACCCUAGCCUCCCCCUUUUUUCCCCCUCCUCGCGCCGCCACUUUCCUUCCCCUUCUUCCUCUGUGAAGCACCGAGCGCCACCGCCACUUCCUCGUCGUCGCCUGCUCGUCUCCGGCCACCCCGAACCCAUCCAAGACCACCGUUCGACGCGCCUUGAUCUCCUCUACCUCCUCGUGCAAGGAAUCGACCCGAGGCGCCCUCUUCCCUCUUCGUUUUCGCCGAUUCCUCCUCGGCGUCUGCGAGCUCCGGCGCCGAUUCUGGCCGCCGUGGUCACCCUCCGGCGACCUCGACCACACCACCGUGCUCGGGAUCCUCACCGCCGGCGAACUUCCGGCGCUCCCCGACGACGGCGCCACCUCCCUUUGGUCCGCGCCGACGAGGCGACCUCGAAGCCCCACCCUCGCUUCCUGGAACGCGUCCGCUCGCCCGCGCGCGUUCGUGCCUUUCGCUGGUGAUCACCGCGCGCCGCCUGGUGGUCACCGCCCUCUCUGUCGCACAAGCUCGGCCACGUCGUCCGCCACGCGGCAUCCACGUCGUCGCAUGGUCCCAUCCGUCGGCCCGGUCGGGCUAGGCCCAUCUCCGCAUUUGCUUCUUCCCGGAUAGGAUCACGAAGUGGUGAUGUGAGAUACGACAAGUUCUUCUGCAGCUUUUCACAGGCGAGCCCACCCCUUCACCUAUUUUACAUUUACAUGCUCUUUUGAUCUAUUGCUAUCCCUAUGUUGCGAUUCUGUUGUGUCACGUGUCCUAUUCCACCUGUUACCCUAUAUGAUCCGAGAUACACCUCCUUGCCCUACCUGAUGUUUGUUGUUUGCCAGCUUUGCGAGUCGUAGGCGAGUUUAGGGUUUUGUUGCUAUCUCGAAAUGUUCGGGAUAUCUUGUUGGGAGGUUAUCACAUGCUAUAUCAGUUGUUGGAGAGAAUCAUGAUUUACUUUAUUAUUAACAACUAAAAUUGUAAGCAGAGGCAUCUGUGAGCCCCUUUGCGAAAGCAUCGGAACUUUGACUCGCUAAUGUCCCCUAGGACCCGAGUUCUUGUUAUCUGUUCCGAGAUUGAGCGCUCUACCCGUACGUGGGGGAGUGGGACCCCCAUCACCCACUACCUUUCCUCGAGUCUAUUUAUUGGGAGCCACAACCUUGGUUUUAUUUGCUCAUAUGCACGAUGCAUGAUUUACUUCUGUUGCCUUCGGGUGUUUAUAUUCUGUAUUGUACUCAUCUUGUGGAACGAUUAGCGACAGCAGGUUGUUCACACUUAGCUUAGCCGUUGGCACAAACCUCUGGGUCCGUAUCGGAGUACGGCCGAACUUCGUCACGGGUAGCUUAGUGGGGUGGCUCCCCUUAAACUUUCUCUUGCAUUGGGAACGGUCUUGAUGUGAGACUCCACCUGUAGCAAGUGGGUUCGAGCAUGCGUAUGGUUACAUUUGGGCAACCCCUGCAGGGCGUACAUCUUAUCGAUAAGCCGUGUCCGCGGUUAUGGACGACUUGGAAUUGUAUGGCUUGAUCAUAGAACAACUUACACUAUUAUCUUGUUGUUAAUAAUCUGAUAAUAACUUGAUUAGUAAUUUAGCAUUACUACAACCGAUACCUAAUAAAACUUGUCCACCGUUGAGUGCCUUUUACAUUGCCUCUUCGCAAUUGUUGAAGGGGAUAUGUGUAAUCGGCUGGGUUAUGUUUGUGUAGUAUUUAUCUGUUACCUUGUGCGCUCUCUUAUCUUCUCUGAGUAGACGGAUGUUGUAGCGUGUCUCUAUUGGAUAGUAGCUUUGCUGCCGCUAAACUCCACAUAUAGCCGGGUGAAGUUUAUACCGCCCACCAGCGAGCAUAGCUGGUCUUGUCUCGCAAGUACGUGCCAAUGGUACUUACCCUCGCCUUCCUUUCUUUUUGUCUCCUCCCCCUCCUGUCGGCAACCGAUGGCCCGACUUUGACAGGUACGAGAUGAUGACGUUAGCAAGGUUUCCCUUCCGGCUUGGCCUGGGCAGGGUUAUGGACGCCAUCGUUUAUCUUCAGGACUCUUAGUCCAGUUUGUAUCUUGUCCGUACUCGGACGUAUUCGAACUUCUGUAUGAUUUGGAUCU
Lolium perenne is the source of this 3300-nucleotide non-coding RNA. The record is from RefSeq and is a predicted model, not a curated record. NCBI's taxonomy places the organism in Eukaryota, Viridiplantae, Streptophyta, Magnoliopsida, Poales, Poaceae.